This 770-nucleotide ribosomal RNA is filed under the name Niphargus sp. ND109. RNAcentral's name for it is "partial large subunit ribosomal RNA". It matches the Rfam family "Eukaryotic large subunit ribosomal RNA", at positions 1552 to 1968 of the family's 3401-position model. Lineage: Eukaryota; Metazoa; Arthropoda; Malacostraca; Amphipoda; Niphargidae. The record is from RNAcentral.
GCAGUGACAUCCCGACAAAGGGGCAUUACGUGUGCUGCGCUUGCAAACCCUCCCACACACACGCACACCCAUGCGUAUUGUUUAGCGCGCUCUCCAUCUCUCUCGAAAAAGGCUGUCUCUCUGGUAGAGGCGCACGCACAGUGAUCACAAAACUCCAUAUUGUGUGAGUGCGUGCGUCCAAAAGUCCGUGUCCGGUUACGCUCAAAAGCGUUGUUCGUUAUGUGCAUGAGAAAAAGGAGAAGCGGGGUGUGUGUGUUUUGGUUUUUCUGGGUGGUGGUGGGGGCGGCGUGUGAGUUAGCGAUUAUUGCAUGAGGGCCCCCUGCGUCUGGUUCUAUGUCUGGCGAAAGGGAAUGGGGACUUUGUUCCUUGACCGGUCCCGGCACCCUCGAUAGGCUUUGCCAAUCAAUGGUCCAUGCAAAUGGAACCAGGCCACAGCCGCCGGCAGUCGCCCGAGGAAGAGUUUUCUUUUCUGCUUAACGCACGAGAUCAUCCCUGGAAACAGUUCGGCUGGCGAAAGGGUGCCCCGUUGCGGCAGAGCGCCACGACUGUCGUGCGCGUCUCGGUGUUCCUGCCGGUCCGUGAAGACGUGGUCGAGGGGAUUGCUCUUGUAUCAACGAAACGCCCGACAAGUUCGGGACGGUCCGUACCCUAUAUCCGCAUCUGGUCUCCAAGGUUCGUAGCCUCUGCAGAGUCAGACACAUGUAGGUAAGGGAAGUCGGCAAACUCGAUCCGUAACUUCGGGAAAAGGAUUGGCUUUGAGGGCCGAGCUG